AAUCGGCCUACUCCAUUACUGGACGUGUCCUUACAUGGUGUGCCGAGGGGAAUGCGCCUCACUAACAGCGGCAAUUUUGCCGGAAAAGUGAAAAAACAAGAUAACUGGGUAGAGUUUGGUAGGUGCCUUCUGGCAGUCGAAGAAGUCGGGCCCA
This 154-nucleotide non-coding RNA is filed under the name unclassified sequences. Its description in RNAcentral is "RT-3 RNA". It matches the Rfam family "RT-3 RNA". The record is from Rfam by way of RNAcentral.